Molecule: ribosomal RNA, 440 nt
Filed under: uncultured bacterium
Lineage: Bacteria
Description: partial 16S ribosomal RNA
Rfam family: Bacterial small subunit ribosomal RNA
Source: RNAcentral
CCUACGGGUGGCUGCAGUGGGGGAUAUUGCACAAUGGGGGGAACCCUGAUGCAGCGACGCCGCGUGGGUGAAGAAGCGCCUCGGCGCGUAAAGCCCUGUUAGCAGGGAAGAAAAUGACGGUACCUGAAGAAGAAGCACCGGCUAACUACGUGCCAGCAGCCGCGGUAAUACGUAGGGGGCAAGCGUUACCCGGAUUUACUGGGUGUAAAGGGGGCGCAGACGGGGUUGCAAGCCAGGAGUGAAAGCCUGGGGCCUAACCCCAGGACUGCUUUUGAAACUGCGUGGCUGGAGUGCAGGAGGGGCAGGCGGAAUUCCUGGUGUAGGGGUGAAAUGCGUAGAUAUCAGGAGGAACACCGGUGGCGAAGGCGGCCUGCUAGACUACAACUGACGUUGAGGCCCGAAAGCGUGGGGAGCAAACAGGAUUAGAUACCCCUGUAGUC